This 253-nucleotide ribosomal RNA is filed under the name uncultured bacterium. Its description in RNAcentral is "partial 16S ribosomal RNA". It matches the Rfam family "Bacterial small subunit ribosomal RNA", at positions 524 to 776 of the family's 1533-position model. The record is from RNAcentral.
UACAGAGGGUGCGAGCGUUAAUCGGAAUUACUGGGCGUAAAGCGUGCGCAGGCGGUUCUGAAAGUCAGCUGUGAAAGCCCCGGGCUUAACCUGGGAAUGGCGGUUGAAACUACAGGACUAGAAUCUGGCAGAGGGGGGUGGAAUUCCACGUGUAGCAGUGAAAUGCGUAGAGAUGUGGAGGAACACCGAUGGCGAAGGCAGCCCCCUGGGCUGAGAUUGACGCUCAGGCACGAAAGCGUGGGGAGCAAACAGG